GGUAAGCCACCUCAUGGAAGCGGUAUCUCCCGAUUUACAAAAGCAAGGCUUUUCCAGCCGUAAUUUUUGUUAAUCGGGAAUAUAGCGGACAGCAGCUGUAAUG
This 103-nucleotide small RNA is filed under the name Flavobacterium aquicola. RNAcentral's name for it is "Flavo-1 RNA". The record is from RNAcentral. Lineage: Bacteria; Pseudomonadati; Bacteroidota; Flavobacteriia; Flavobacteriales; Flavobacteriaceae.